RNAcentral lists this ribosomal RNA (493 nucleotides) under uncultured bacterium. RNAcentral describes it as "partial 16S ribosomal RNA". It matches the Rfam family "Bacterial small subunit ribosomal RNA", at positions 28 to 523 of the family's 1533-position model. The record is from RNAcentral.
GACGAACGCUGGCGGCGUGCUUAACACAUGCAAGUCGAACGCUGAAGCCCUUUCGGGGGUGGAUGAGUGGCGAACGGGUGAGUAACACGUGGGUAAUCUGCCCUGUACUUCGGGAUAAGCCUUGGAAACGGGGUCUAAUACCGGAUAGGACCUGUCCUCGCAUGGGGGUGGGUGGAAAGUUCCGGCGGUAUGGGAUGAGCCCGCGGCCUAUCAGCUUGUUGGUGGGGUAGUGGCCUACCAAGGCGACGACGGGUAGCCGGCCUGAGAGGGUGACCGGUCACACUGGGACUGAGACACGGCCCAGACUCCUACGGGAGGCAGCAGUGGGGAAUCUUGCGCAAUGGGCGAAAGCCUGACGCAGCAACGCCGCGUGGGGGAUGACGGCCUUCGGGUUGUAAACCUCUUUCGACAUCGACGAAGGGGCCCUGUUGUGGGGUUUUGACGGUAGGUGUAGAAGAAGCACCGGCUAACUACGUGCCAGCAGCCGCCGUAA